UACGAAGGGGGCUAGCGUUGUUCGGAAUGACUGGGCGUAAAGGGCGCGUAGGCGGUGGACACAGUCAGGCGUGAAAUUCCUGGGCUCAACCUGGGGGCUGCGUUUGAUACGUGUUUGCUAGAGUGGGGAAGAGGGUCGUGGAAUUCCCAGUGUAGAGGUGAAAUUCGUAGAUAUUGGGAAGAACACCGGUGGCGAAGGCGGCGACCUGGUCCUUGACUGACGCUGAGGCGCGAAAGCGUGGGGAGCAAACAGG
Molecule: ribosomal RNA, 253 nt
Filed under: uncultured bacterium
Lineage: Bacteria
Description: partial 16S ribosomal RNA
Rfam family: Bacterial small subunit ribosomal RNA
Source: RNAcentral